CCUACGGGGGGCAGCAGUGAGGAAUAUUGGUCAAUGGACGAGAGUCUGAACCAGCCAAGUAGCGUGAAGGAUGACUGCCCUAUGGGUUGUAAACUUCUUUUAUAUGGGAAUAAAAUGUUCCACGUGUGGGAUUUUGUAUGUACCAUAUGAAUAAGGAUCGGCUAACUCCGUGCCAGCAGCCGCGGUAAUACGGAGGAUCCGAGCGUUAUCCGGAUUUAUUGGGUUUAAAGGGAGCGUAGGUGGAUUGUUAAGUCAGUUGUGAAAGUUUGCGGCUCAACCGUAAAAUUGCAGUUGAAACUGGCAGGCUUGAGUAUAGUAGAGGUGGGCGGAAUUCGUGGUGUAGCGGUGAAAUGCUGAGAUAUCACGCAGAACUCCGAUUGCGAAGGCAGCUCACUGGACUGCGACUGACACUGAGGCUCGAAAGCGUGGGUAUCAAACAGGAUUAGAUACCCCGGUAGUC
Molecule: ribosomal RNA, 460 nt
Filed under: uncultured bacterium
Lineage: Bacteria
Description: partial 16S ribosomal RNA
Rfam family: Bacterial small subunit ribosomal RNA
Source: RNAcentral